AUACGCAACAAGCGACCACAUCACCCCCUCUGCGACUACAACGAAUUGAAAGGAUCGCCUCCUCAGCCCGCCGAUAUAGUCAUCAUGCACUCUACGCCGGCCAAGGAGGCCGAGGCAGAGGGCUACAUGAGGAGCGGCAAGAAGCACCUGGAGAAGAAGCUGUUCCAAUUCAAGGCAAAUUAUGGCGGCGCCGCCGAAGACUUCGACAAGGCCGCGCGCAUCUACACAAACUUGAGAAACUAUCCGAAGGCGCGUGAAGCCUGGACACAAGCCUGUGAGGCUCACAGUAAAGCCCAUAACGACUUCAACGCCGCGAACUCGAUGGAGAAGCUGGGAGACCUUGCUUCCCAGUAUAUAUGUGAUUCCCAGAGCACCAUGUCAAGUGGCAGUACUGCCAGCACGACAGCGCAGCUGAGCGAGCAUCUCUUUCAGGACGCGAUUCACGCCUACGAAGAGGCAUCCAAGCUGUAUGGUGUGGCCACGAAUGGGUCGAAGCAGGCGUCGGUGCUUAAGAAGGCCGCAGACCUGAUCUCGCGCUCGCUUGUGACGGCGCAUUACCGGCGCCCCGGCACCAGCGGCGCCACCACCGUCGACACGGCGUACCUGCAAAAAGAGUACGAACGCAUCAUUCCAGAGGUCAUAGAGCUGAUGGAGCGCAACUGGGAGGUGACGGAGUCGAAGCCGUUCGACUUGCCGGACAUCUACCGAUCCUACAUGCUCUUCCACCUCCGCUCCGGCGACGUCGAGGGCGCCGUGCAAACUGAAAAGCGCAUGAUAGGCGUUAUUUCCACCAGCCCAGCCGACGGCACGUACGACGACAGCAAGAACCUCUUCCGCAUUCUCAACCAGCCCAGCAACGCCGCAAAGGUCGGGCUGGAGAUUAUAGUACUCUGCCUCAGCACUUCCGUCGAUGACGGGUACACGUGGGCCAACAUCGAGAUGGGUCGCCUCGGGGCUGUGUUUGGCUUCUGCAACUCGUCAGAGGAGCGAGCGGCGGCGGCGCUGUUAACCGCCUACGCCGAGCGCGACGAAGAUGCCUUGCAAGAAGCACUGAAGACGAACGCGUGCUUCAACUUCCUCGCAGCAGACGUGUCUCGAAUGGCCAAGAAGCUGACGCUCGGGGGCAAGGGGCACUCCAAGGCGACGGAGGCAUCAGUGGCAGCUGCCGGCGGUGCGGAACGCUCAGCUGCGCCGCCGUCCUCGUCACAAGCGCCGGUGGACGCAUCGGAGACGGACUCCGAGGACCUCCGAUAGACGAUGAAACGAUCAAAGAGUUGCUUUUGCAGUUUCCUUUUCGUAUCCGCGUAUGCGGUCUUGCACGUGCAUGGUGCUGAAUAGUACUUGUCGCACUACUGCAGUUGCGCGGGCAAGCCUUACGUUUGUUGCUGCGUGGGGAUCCCUGCCGGUUUUGGGAGAGGUUUUAUCUGCCUAUCCCCAUCCUUCUGCUGAAGGUGGCCUUGAGCUUGCAUCUUGAACACAGACACACGAAUACCAGCGAAUGUGUAUGGUGUGCAUGUGAGAUACGGAGAGGUCGAGUCUAUCAGUCUGUCUGUGUGUGAGGCUGUCAACGCCUUCGACAUUUUCUUUUGCGUUUCCGUUCUCCCUGUGUUGGCGAUAUGCUUCUUCUUUACCUUUUUUGCCGUUUUCUCACGCUCAUCUCCCCCGCCCGUGCGCUCUCGUCGCCGUCACGAGAGACGAGCUCAAGGAGAAGCUGGAUACACACAAAAAAAA
This 1731-nucleotide unclassified non-coding RNA is filed under the name Leishmania donovani. RNAcentral describes it as "gene:LdHU3.34.0950(CDS-product:Gamma-soluble_NSF_ attachment_protein_(SNAP-gamma)_(N-ethylmaleimide-sensitive _factor_attachment_protein_gamma)_putative)". Lineage: Eukaryota; Euglenozoa; Kinetoplastea; Trypanosomatida; Trypanosomatidae. The record is from RNAcentral.